GAUGAACGCUGGCGGCGUGCCUAAUACAUGCAAGUCGAGCGAACAGACGAGGAGCUUGCUCCUCUGACGUUAGCGGCGGACGGGUGAGUAACACGUGGAUAACCUACCUAUAAGACUGGGAUAACUUCGGGAAACCGGAGCUAAUACCGGAUAAUAUAUUGAACCGCAUGGUUCAAUAGUGAAAGACGGUUUUGCUGUCACUUAUAGAUGGAUCCGCGCCGCAUUAGCUAGUUGGUAAGGUAACGGCUUACCAAGGCAACGAUGCGUAGCCGACCUGAGAGGGGGAUCGGCCGCACUGGAACUGAGACACGGUCCAGACUCCUACGGGAGGCAGCAGUAGGGAAUCUUCCGCAAUGGGCGAAAGCCUGACGGAGCAACGCCGCGUGAGUGAUGAAGGUCUUCGGAUCGUAAAACUCUGUUAUUAGGGAAGAACAAAUGUGUAAGUAACGAUGCACGUCUUGACGGUACCUAAUCAGAAAACCACGGCUAACUACGU
Molecule: ribosomal RNA, 496 nt
Filed under: uncultured bacterium
Lineage: Bacteria
Description: partial 16S ribosomal RNA
Rfam family: Bacterial small subunit ribosomal RNA
Source: RNAcentral